UGGGACACCCUCUUGAUAUGGGAGGUUUUCUAUAUGAGCAACAAGGCGCGAGUUGUAGUCGUGGGCAAGAAGAGAUGGUCUCAAACCUGGCCAAUGUAUGAAUCUGCCUUGUGACGUUGAAGUUAUUACCAGUCCUUGGGCUGGACCAGAUAACGGUAUCUCUGGUGGAUAAACCGAGUCGGAGUCGUCAUCUUCAUUGUACCCGAGUUCGAGUUGAAUUCGAGUAAGAAAACCCUGGUGGACUUUGGCUAUAGUGCGGAGUCCAUGUAGAAACCGACUUGGAGUCGAAGC
RNAcentral lists this long non-coding RNA (291 nucleotides) under Setaria viridis. Its description in RNAcentral is "long non-coding RNA (SVIR_LNC000532)". Lineage: Eukaryota; Viridiplantae; Streptophyta; Magnoliopsida; Poales; Poaceae. The record is from RNAcentral.